This 253-nucleotide ribosomal RNA is filed under the name uncultured bacterium. Its description in RNAcentral is "partial 16S ribosomal RNA". It matches the Rfam family "Bacterial small subunit ribosomal RNA", at positions 524 to 776 of the family's 1533-position model. The record is from RNAcentral.
UACGAAGGGUGCAAGCGUUACUCGGAAUUACUGGGCGUAAAGCGUGCGUAGGCGGUUCGUUAAGUCUGACGUGAAAUCCCCGGGCUCAACCUGGGACGUGCGUUGGAAACUGGCGAUCUAGAGUACGGUAGAGGGUGGUGGAAUUCCCGGUGUAGCAGUGAAAUGCGUAGAGAUCGGGAGGAACACUCGUGGCGAAGGCGGCCACCUGGACCAGUACUGACGCGGAGGAACGAAAGCGUGGGGAGCAAACAGG